This 744-nucleotide ribosomal RNA is filed under the name Triticum aestivum (bread wheat). Its description in RNAcentral is "partial small subunit ribosomal RNA". Lineage: Eukaryota; Viridiplantae; Streptophyta; Magnoliopsida; Poales; Poaceae. The record is from RNAcentral.
AUGGAAAAUAGAAAUACUUUUUCUUGGGUAAAGGAACAGAUAACUCGAUCGAUUUCUGUAUCGAUCAUGAUAUACGUAAUAACUCGGACAUCUAUUUCAAAUGCAUAUCCCAUUUUUGUGCAGCAGGGUUAUGAAAACCCACGAGAAGCAACUGGACGAAUCGUAUGUGCCAAUUGCCAUUUAGCUAGCAAGCCCGUCGAUAUUGAAGUUCCCCAAGCUGUGCUUCCCGAUACUGUAUUUGAAGCAGUUCUUCGAAUUCCUUAUGAUAUGCAAUUGAAACAAGUUCUUGCUAAUGGAAAAAAGGGAGGGUUGAAUGUAGGUGCUGUUCUUAUUUUGCCCGAGGGAUUCGAAUUAGCGCCGCCCGAUCGUAUUUCCCCUGAGUUAAAAGAAAAGAUAGGAAAUCUUGCUUUUCAGAGUUAUCGUCCCGAUAAAAAAAACAUUCUUGUGAUAGGCCCUGUUCCCGGUAAGAAAUAUAGUGAAAUUGUCUUUCCCAUUCUUUCCCCUGGUCCUGCUACGAAGAAAGAUGCUCAUUUCUUAAAAUAUCCCAUAUAUGUAGGGGGGAACCGAGGAAGAGGACAGAUCUAUCCUGAUGGUAGCAAGAGUAACAAUUCAGUCUAUAAUGCUACGUCAACAGGUAUAGUAAGAACCUUUUCAAACUGUUUCUUUUUUAGAACCAAAAAAACUUGUGCCAAAAUAACGGAUGCGAAGAAGAACAAAAGGCCUUGGACACGUAAUGGAUCCUGA